Homo sapiens (human) is the source of this 316-nucleotide long non-coding RNA. RefSeq annotates it as long independently transcribed non-coding RNA 1054. The transcript is spliced from 3 exons. The record is from RefSeq and is marked validated. NCBI's taxonomy places the organism in Eukaryota, Metazoa, Chordata, Mammalia, Primates, Hominidae.
CUUCACCCCUGGCUCUCGGCAAUGCUGCUCCUCUCUCCUGCAUGGAUCACCUGCUCCUGGAAUUCAUUCUCCCAUUUCUUAGGUUGCCACUUUACUGUAGCUUCCUAAUCGAAGAGUCUUGCUGUGUCACCCAGGCUGGAAUGCCGUGGCACAAUCUCGGCUCAACCUCCACCUCCUGGGUUCAAGUGAUUCUUCUGUCUCAGCCUCCUGAGUAGCUGGGACUACAGGAAGAGUGCACAGGAGCCUGGCACUCCUGGACCUGAGGAAACCCUGAAACUGUUGGUAUUUGCAGAUCCUCUCCAAAAAGAGUUCACCG